GUCGUCGGUCUGUAGAGCCGAUACCGACAGUGUCCAAUAUUUGUUUAAUACUUGUUUGACAUCUCCCCUUGAAAUCACGUUUCGCCCGAGCGAGAACCGAGCACACGAGAGAAACGAUCCGGUUGCGAGGGGACACACACCACCUGUAGAACGGACAUAACAAAAAGCAUGCUUAUUGAUAUACGAUUAAUUGAUGGUAGUACAAAUGUGAACGAUAUUUAAGCGACUCUCGAUUGAUUGGCUGCGACGGCGUGCAGUUCCGUGUUCCUUUUCAAGUGGAACUAUCAGAAACCGGUGUGGUGUACUUCGCACGGAUGUCGGUUCCCAGUCCGCGCGUCCAUACCUUUUUCUCUCUUUCUCUCUUGUCUUCUUUUUUCAUACAGUUACCGGAAGCAAUUAAUGUGAAAACAUUGAGUAAAAUGGGAAUGUGAUCAUAUGCCAAUAUGCUACUACUGUAAAUAGUCUUCUCACCAUUAAAUAAUCCGAUUUGUCUUUCUAUUGUGCAUCACCUCCUCUUUCUCUCUCUUCUCUUUUCUCUCGUUUUUUCUUUCUCUUUCCAAUUAUAGGUAAAGUACAGUAAAUCAUAUAAUCUGUCACAGUUGUGCGUAACUUUCACCAUCCCCCAUGUACUCUGAACACACAAAUUAAAACAAAUUGAGCUAGGCAUCUACACACUUCCCCCUCAAAUCUUUGCAGCGUGUGUAUGGUUAACCUACAUUUUCGUACUCUAUUUCGUACUUGUCCAUAUGCCGUUUAGCCAUCUUUUUACGCCAAUGAAAUUUAUCUGAAGGUAUUUCUUUAUACCAGAUGUACUAAUAAUUAUAAUCGAUGAGUUACACCGCUCUUGGUUUUGAAGAGACAUUCUUGGAAUACCUAGAAACAGUAGUUGGGUUAAUGUGCCUGACACAAAAAGCUCGACUGUUAUUCAGUUACUAUUAUUAACAGCGCACACGUUCAUCGUUAAGUGUUAUUUUAUUUAAAGGUAUGACUAAUAUUUUGAUGGCAAUAGCUCAGAUCAAACGAUAGUUGGCUUCAAUUUGAAAAUAAUUGAUUUUUUUGCGUUUCAUUUCGCUGUUCAGUGCUUUUGAGGAGAGAUUGAAAUGUUUUAACAGAACCGGCAAUAGUUUGUUUUACCAUAUGUACGCUUCUUAAAAGUAGAACAAACAACACCGUCUUGCAGUUUCAAUAUGCAAUAUAUCGCGCAUUAGAGUUUAGCCAGACCGAAAGGAUAUAGAAAAUUAUAGAGCACGUAGUUUAAAAUUCCUUCCAAAAUUAUACACAUUCCUCAUGCUCCUCUUACAUGUUAGUCUCCACAGCUCAUUAUCCGCACACAAUCAAAUCAAUUCAUGCGAUUUCUUCGUUUCUUUCUUUUUUUUUUUGUUUCUGUACUUUCAGCGGCAUUUGAUUGAUAUCAUAUUGUUAUGAUAGUAGUAAAAAUGUUUCUAAACAAUAACAUAUUUGAGAAAGAUAGCCUAUUAAUUUAGGCACUAAUUGUAAUACGUACCUAUCACAGCCCACAUCCUUCCGAGAAGAUAAUCUAUCAGGGUGUGCAUGAUACUGCCUCAUCCAUCUAUUGGCGUAAGGAUGAUCGAUUAUAUGGCUGGGAGGUAAACUAUUGUCAGUGUACUGUAAAAGCCUUACCAGGGCGAAGAAAUGUGAAUGUGUGGAAACGCACCCGCAAAAGCUGUCGGCAAUGCGCGGCGAUAUAUGUACUUCGUGUACUGUAUUUGAAAAUGAUUUCGUACUUUUUUUUAAUCAUGUGUACCUUAGAGUACAAGUUUUGUGACCCUUACGUUGCAAUUCGCUGCAUUGGUGGCCAUAUUUGUUGUUGCGUGGGGUACCUUGUGCUAUGUUUUGGGGGUUGUUUCUAUGUACUUUUAUUUAAGCUUUUCCAUCCUCUUCUCGGGGCAUCGCAAAAAGGGAAGCAGACAAACGGUUGCUGUUACGUUCCAGCGCUGUAGGAUCGUACGAUCAAGCACCAGCCGGCUGGGGUUAGCGUAUUGCGAGGUAUACUCCCGAGCGAUGGUCCACGUGGGUAAUAUACACGCGUGCUGCGUGCUCACUUACACUUACCGGAAUGUUUUUGUUUUUCGUUUACACUAUAUUACGUUCUCGUCUCGUGGGGACGCUAGCUAACGAAUGUCCUUCUCUCUUUUCUCUUUUCUCUCUCUCUUUCUCUCUUAAUUCUUUUAUUUCUGAAUAUUGUCGAACUCAUGGGAGCUCAAGUCGGUUGUGCUAUGCUUUCAACCUCCUAUAAACGGGCAUGCAACCUCAGCACACAGAGUUCGAUCGGCGUGCGCGUAUCACGAGGACACGAGCUUCUCUUCUCUGCGUCGUUCGCUGUAAUCAUCAUCGGCGUAUACCCCAAACCAAUGUCGAAUUCAUCCUUCCUUUCCGGAGGGAAACAGAGAGAAGGCGCUAGUAGCGGUCGCGCGUAGAAGAUCGAUCAGUUAUUUUUCUCUUUUUUCUCUUAUUCUCUUUCUUUGUGGUUUUUUUCUUAACCUCCUAACUCUUGAUCGUAUUGUAUUACACAGAGAAACAUUGCGCGACUGAAGUAAAAGUCCAAUGAUACGUGGAUAGAGAGAAAGUGACGAAUAUACGCGCAAAUGGAAACACAUAUACGAUCAAUGUGAACGUAUUAAUCGGCAGCAUUUCUGCACUCUAUCUUGAAAAAUGAAAAAAAAGUGCAUAGUAUAAGAAAACUCCCACCCCCACUCCAGCAUGGGACAAGUUCCUGGCGAUCGGCUAAUUGCGGUAACACGGUGAUCGUGUUUUUUUGUUUUUUGUCCAUUUCUCUUUCUCUCUCUUUUUCUCUCUCUCUCUCUCUGUUUUGUUUUGUUCAAUCUAUGUGUUCUCUUUAAUCGUACUUUCAGCGAACUGGGGAUUGUUCGUGAUUCGAUGACGUGUUAUAUUUGAACAGCUUUGUUUGAAUCAACCGUGCUUGCCUCCAAGAUUAGGCUAACUGAACCAUCAUGUAUGCGCGUGUUGUUGAGUAUAAUUGUACAAUUCUAACUUCUUGAGACGAUACAACGGUAGUAGCCAACAUAAUCCUUUGCAUAAAUAGUAGUAGUACUUCCACUGUUCUCCUCAGCCAUCGUCGGAAUGGGCCACGAAAAUGGGAUGUAUUUUGUAGGCUCGAUAUGUGGGACGACGCUCGCUAUUCUGCAAGGACAUGCUCUGUCCGAGUGCGCGUGUGUGUUUCUGUGCUUCUCGUCCUGGUUGAACCAUCCUAUAAUCAUCGUCACCAUCUCAACACCGCAACAGUAUAUAUGUGAACAAAGCCUGGGAACGAGGCCGUUGGCAGUUUUUUCUUUCUUUUUUGUCUACGUUUGGUUUUUCUCUUUUCUCUUUUUCUCUCUCUCUUUCUCUCUCUCUCAUCUUUAAUUACAUAUAUAUUAUAUUGUUCUCUUUCUUAAACAAAAGAAAAAAAAAAUCCUGUGAUAACAAUAUCAUCUUUCCUGGCGUCCGGAUGCGACCUAGACUCUUCCUGCUUAUGCUGUGGAAGAUAAUAUCGACCGCAUCUACUUGACUUUGACUGAUCUAUAUGUCUCUCGUAUUGUUUUUGUUUCUCUCUUUCUCUCUCUUUCUCUUUCUAUCUUUCUCUAUUUCUCUUUUUGUUUCAUCUACUCCCAUGCGUAUGCCAAAAGAAGCGAAAAUGCACCUUCUUUGCAAAAGUACUGCGUAAAGACAGAUACACAAUCUGCCACUGCCACUAUUACUACUACCAAUACUACCACAACAACUAUUCUUCCUUCGUCAUCACGUUACAUUUUGAUACUUUGCCCAAGCGAAAGGCCAACAAUGAAACCGUUCGCCUAUCUACUACUACUACUACUACUACUACUACUACUACUACUGCCUACUGCUACCUAUACUACUACCGCUACUAUCAUCACCACCACUCACCAUCAUAAUUGCUACCGGUUCUUUCGUUCGUCCUUUGACUGAAUUUCGCAUCACGACUGCCGCGUGCGUGUACUGCGUAAUCGCGAUGGUUGGAAAACAAGACUCUAAAUGUUAUCUCAUGUUACCACUGCUCUCUCGUGCAAUGGCAGACUAUACGAACAAGAACAGUAUCACACAUAUUCACAGCACGUGGCGAGCAAAAUGUAUCAAAAGAUUGUGAACUCUUGUCUCUUGUGAACAUCCUCACACAAGUUGACUCCCCCAGAUCCAUGGAAGAG
Long non-coding RNA from Anopheles gambiae (African malaria mosquito), 4184 nucleotides. RefSeq lists it as uncharacterized. The record is from RefSeq and is a predicted model, not a curated record. Lineage: Eukaryota; Metazoa; Arthropoda; Insecta; Diptera; Culicidae. The transcript is spliced from 2 exons.